Molecule: long non-coding RNA, 355 nt
Filed under: Vitis vinifera (wine grape)
Lineage: Eukaryota; Viridiplantae; Streptophyta; Magnoliopsida; Vitales; Vitaceae
Description: long non-coding RNA (VVIN_LNC000009)
Source: RNAcentral
CAAGUCUGAUAAAAUUGUUGUUGAGAAAUCGACAGUCCCUGUGAAGACAGCUGAGGCCAUAGAAAAAAUUCUGACCCACAACAGCAAGGGGAUCAACUUCCAGAUUCUAUCCAACCCAGAAUUCCUUGCUGAGGGAACUGCAAUUCAGGAUCUGUUCAAUCCAGAUCGGGUCCUCAUAGGAGGUAGGGAGACACCUGAGGGUCAGAAGGCAAUCAAGGCACUGAGAGAUGUAUAUGCCCAUUGGGUCCCUGUGGAGCGUAUUAUUUGCACCAAUCUUUGGUCUGCUGAGCUCUCAAAGCUCGCUGCCAAUGCCUUUUUGGCACAGAGGAUCUCUUCGGUUAAUGCCAUGUCAGCU